AUGAUGGUUUGAUCGCUUUUCAUUAUAGAUCUUAUGGGACUUUUCUUCUACAACAAAAGAGGCCCAUCAUUCCUACAGUGAUUUCACCCACUACAGAAAUUAUAGAGCC
This 109-nucleotide non-coding RNA is filed under the name uncultured Streptococcus sp. Its description in RNAcentral is "Streptococcus RNA 266". It matches the Rfam family "Streptococcus RNA 266". Lineage: Bacteria; Bacillati; Bacillota; Bacilli; Lactobacillales; Streptococcaceae. The record is from RNAcentral.